RNAcentral lists this ribosomal RNA (501 nucleotides) under uncultured bacterium. RNAcentral describes it as "partial 16S ribosomal RNA". It matches the Rfam family "Bacterial small subunit ribosomal RNA", at positions 30 to 523 of the family's 1533-position model. The record is from RNAcentral.
AUUGAACGCUGGCGGCAUGCCUUACACACGCAAGUCGAACGGCAGCACGGGUGCUUGCACCUGGUGGCGAGUGGCGAACGGGUGAGUAAUAUAUCGGAACGUACCUUAUUGUGGGGGAUAACGCAGCGAAAGCUGUGCUAAUACCGCAUAAUCCCUAAGGGGGAAAGCGGGGGACCGUAAGGCCUCGCGCAAUUAGAGCGGCCGAUACCUGAUUAGCUAGUUGGUGAGGUAAAGGCUCACCAAGGCAACGAUCAGUAGCUGGUCUGAGAGGACGAUCAGCCACACUGGGACUGAGACACGGCCCAGACUCCUACGGGAGGCAGCAGUGGGGAAUUUUGGACAAUGGGGGCAACCCUGAUCCAGCAAUGCCGCGUGAGUGAAGAAGGCCUUCGGGUUGUAAAGCUCUUUUGUCAGGGAAGGAACAGCAGCUCUAACACAGUUUGCGAAUGACGGUACCUGAAGAAUAAGCACCGGCUAACUACGUGCCAGCAGCCGCAGUAA